RNAcentral lists this ribosomal RNA (397 nucleotides) under uncultured bacterium. RNAcentral describes it as "partial 16S ribosomal RNA". It matches the Rfam family "Bacterial small subunit ribosomal RNA", at positions 523 to 918 of the family's 1533-position model. The record is from RNAcentral.
AUACGUAGGGGGCGAGCGUUGUCCGGAAUGAUUGGGCGUAAAGGGCGCGUAGGCGGCCCGGUAAGUCUGGAGUGAAAGUCCUGUUUUUAAGAUGGGAAUUGCUUUGGACACUGUCGGGCUUGAGUGCAGGAGAGGUAAGUGGAAUUCCCAGUGUAGCGGUGAAAUGCGUAGAGAUUGGGAGGAACACCAGUGGCGAAGGCGACUUACUGGACUGUAACUGACGCUGAGGCGCGAAAGUGUGGGGAGCAAACAGGAUUAGAUACCCUGGUAGUCCACACUGUAAACGAUGAAUGCUAGGUGUAGGGGGUAUCGACCCCUUCUGUGCCGCAGUCAACACAAUAAGCAUUCCGCCUGGGGAGUACGGCCGCAAGGUUGAAACUCAAAGGAAUUGACGGGG